RNAcentral lists this transfer RNA (82 nucleotides) under Candidatus Gottesmanbacteria bacterium RIFCSPHIGHO2_01_FULL_43_15. RNAcentral describes it as "tRNA-Leu". It matches the Rfam family "tRNA". Rfam says of the family: Transfer RNA (tRNA) molecules are approximately 80 nucleotides in length. Their secondary structure includes four short double-helical elements and three loops (D, anti-codon, and T loops). The record is from RNAcentral. Lineage: Bacteria; Candidatus Gottesmaniibacteriota. RNAcentral also lists the same sequence under 2 other names.
GCCAAAGUGCUGAAAUUGGUAGACAGGCACGCUUCAGGAGCGUGUGCCGUAAGGCGUGAGAGUUCGAGUCUCUCCUUUGGCA